RNAcentral lists this transfer RNA (98 nucleotides) under Mycolicibacterium mageritense. RNAcentral describes it as "tRNA-Gly". The record is from RNAcentral. Lineage: Bacteria; Bacillati; Actinomycetota; Actinomycetes; Mycobacteriales; Mycobacteriaceae.
GGGCGCCGACGCCGCGGCCAGCGUCGGCGCGGCCUCCCAUGUCGCGUCGAGCGCUGCCGCGGCUGCGGCGGCCGCCGCUCCGAUACCGCGGGCGCCCA